RNAcentral lists this ribosomal RNA (457 nucleotides) under uncultured bacterium. RNAcentral describes it as "partial 16S ribosomal RNA". It matches the Rfam family "Bacterial small subunit ribosomal RNA", at positions 338 to 795 of the family's 1533-position model. The record is from RNAcentral.
CCUACGGGUGGCAGCAGUGGGGAAUAUUGCACAAUGGGGGAAACCCUGAUGCAGCGACGCCGCGUGAGUGAAGAAGUAUUUCGGUACGUAAAGCUCUAUCAGCAGGGAAGAAAAAAAGUCCUUUGGACUUUGGACGGUACCUGUCCAAGAAGCCCCGGCUAACGACGUGCCAGCAGCCGCGGUGAUACGUAGGGGGCAAGCGUUAUCCGGAUUUACUGGGGGUAAAGGGAGCGUAGACGGCGGCGCAAGUCUGGAGUGAAAUGCCGGGGCCCAACCCCGGAACUGCUUUGGAAACUGUGCGGCUGGAGUGCAGGAGGGGUAGGCGGAAUUCCUGGUGUAGCGGUGAAAUGCGUAGAUAUUAGGAGGAACACCAGUGGCGAAGGCGGCUUACUGGACUGCGACUGACGUUGAGGCUCGAAAGCGUGGGGAGCAAACAGGAUUAGAUACCCCUGUAGUC